This 107-nucleotide small nuclear RNA is filed under the name Aotus nancymaae (Ma's night monkey). The record is from RNAcentral. Lineage: Eukaryota; Metazoa; Chordata; Mammalia; Primates; Aotidae.
GUGCUCACUUAGGCAGCACAUAUACUAAAAUUGGAAUAAUAACAGGAAGAUGAGCAUGGUACCUGACCAUGGAUGACACAUAAACUAGUCAAGAGUUCCAUAUUUUU